UGACUUUUAGAAGCAUAGGAAGGGAUCCC
Molecule: non-coding RNA, 29 nt
Filed under: Mus musculus (house mouse)
Lineage: Eukaryota; Metazoa; Chordata; Mammalia; Rodentia; Muridae
Source: RNAcentral